CAAACAUUUAUUGUGUGCCAACUGUAUCCAGGCUCCCCUAGCACAAAGACGACUUCCCUCUGGGAGAAAGGUGUGUGGUCCAGACUCUAAGGUCUGUCCCAAGCUGCUGGCUAGACCCUGUCUGGAAUAAAAUGUAAACCAGGCAUGGGGGCACACGCAUUUAAUCUCAGCACUCCAGAGGCGGAGGCAGGAGGAUUUCUGUGAGUUCAAGGCCAGCCUGGUCUACAGAGUGAGAUCAUGUCACAAGAAAAAAAAAUCAAUAAAGGGGAGAAUGUUGAAGACUGAGUUAGUGUAGAUCCCUGCGUCAACGCCUCAGUAAGUCCCAGUUUACCUCCUCAACCUCAGUCUAAGGAAGACACGAGCUCAAGGCCUGCACGCCUUCCUGGGCCCCAGCAGCAGCAGCUCAAGGUCACCCCAGUGCUCCGAGGUCACACUGCACAACACUCUGCUUCCCCAGGUCUUCAUCCUGCAGACCUUGCUGCAGACGCUACCUGUCAUGAGCCCCUCCGGACAGCUGUUGCGGACCACGGAGCGCCAACUGCUCAUCUACCUACGCGUGGCCACAUGGAACCAGAUCUUGGACCCCUGGGUCUACAUCCUCUUCCGUAGGUCCGUGCUUCGACGCCUGCAUCCAAGGUUCACUUCCCAGCUCCAGGCUGUGUCCUUGCACUCACCCCCCACACAGGCCAUGCUCAGUGGACCCUGAAGGACGGUGCCAAUCAAAGCUGGGGUUCUUGGUGACUGCUAACGACCUGUCUCCUGUCCCAGGAGCCUGAAUGUUUGGUGGGAUGGAGUUACAACACAGGGCUGACUCCUGUGAACUACAAAGAUACCUCCUCCAUGCUAGGGAGAUCCUCCCUGGCCCCCUCCCCAGACUACUUGUCAGCUAGGAGGUUGGAGCAUAUGUGGGAGGUCCCUUGCAGGAAUCUAUGGUUACACAGAGAGAACCUGGAGUGCCGAUGGCAUCUCCCAUCUUGCCAUAGUCCGCGUCUGUCUCAGCCCCGUUGUCCCGGGGUUGUCCCGGGGCUUCAUGUUUGUUCCUUUAGGCUCAAGGAUCAUCGGCCUUGGGUGUUGGAAGCACCCACUGUGGUCCCAGUAGCUGGCUCUGGAGUUACCAACCUCUCCGUGUUUACUGAGCCCCCUCCCCCCACGGCUAUCCAACACACAUGCUCAAUAAAUGGUUGAAUGUCCGGGUAUACAGCAGGUGCUCAACCAAGCGUC
This 1221-nucleotide long non-coding RNA is filed under the name Rattus norvegicus (Norway rat). Its description in RNAcentral is "long non-coding RNA NONRATT026441". Lineage: Eukaryota; Metazoa; Chordata; Mammalia; Rodentia; Muridae. The record is from RNAcentral.